RNAcentral lists this unclassified non-coding RNA (256 nucleotides) under uncultured fungus. Its description in RNAcentral is "sequence contains ITS1, 5.8S rRNA gene". The stretch from base 208 to 256 matches the Rfam family "5.8S ribosomal RNA", at positions 1 to 49 of the family's 154-position model. Lineage: Eukaryota; Fungi. The record is from RNAcentral.
UUUCCGUAGGUGAACCUGCGGAAGGAUCAUUAUCAAUACAAUAUCGGACGGCCGGGGUUGUGGGAAACACCAUGACCUAGGCCCAUCCCCUAUUGCACCCUUUGUCUUUGCGUACUGUAUGUUUCCUCGGUGGGCUCGCCCGCCGAUAGGACAUUCUAUAAACCCUUUGUAAUUGCAAUCAGCGUCAGAAAAAACUAUAAUAGUUACAACUUUCAACAACGGAUCUCUUGGUUCUGGCAUCGAUGAAGAACGCAGC